Molecule: ribosomal RNA, 326 nt
Filed under: Enterobacter ludwigii
Lineage: Bacteria; Pseudomonadati; Pseudomonadota; Gammaproteobacteria; Enterobacterales; Enterobacteriaceae
Description: bacterial SSU rRNA
Rfam family: Bacterial small subunit ribosomal RNA
Source: RNAcentral
UACGAGUAGGGCUACACACGUGCUACAAUGGCGCAUACAAAGAGAAGCGACCUCGCGAGAGCAAGCGGACCUCAUAAAGUGCGUCGUAGUCCGGAUUGGAGUCUGCAACUCGACUCCAUGAAGUCGGAAUCGCUAGUAAUCGUAGAUCAGAAUGCUACGGUGAAUACGUUCCCGGGCCUUGUACACACCGCCCGUCACACCAUGGGAGUGGGUUGCAAAAGAAGUAGGUAGCUUAACCUUCGGGAGGGCGCUUACCACUUUGUGAUUCAUGACUGGGGUGAAGUCGUAACAAGGUAACCGUAGGGGAACCUGCGGGUGGAUCACCU